GACGAACGCUGGCGGCGUGCUUAACACAUGCAAGUCGAACGGAAAGGCCCUGCUUGCAGGGUACUCGAGUGGCGAACGGGUGAGUAACACGUGGGUGAUCUGCCCUGCACUUCGGGAUAAGCCUGGGAAACUGGGUCUAAUACCGGAUAGGAGCCAUUCUUAGUGUGAUGGUUGGAAAGUUUUUUCGGUGUAGGAUGAGCUCGCGGCCUAUCAGCUUGUUGGUGGGGUAAUGGCCUACCAAGGCGGCGACGGGUAGCCGGCCUGAGAGGGUGGACGGCCACAUUGGGACUGAGAUACGGCCCAGACUCCUACGGGAGGCAGCAGGGGGGAAUAUUGCACAAUGGGCGCAAGCCUGAUGCAGCGACGCCGCGUGGGGGAUGACGGCCUUCGGGUUGUAAACUCCUUUCGCUAGGGACGAAGCUUUUUGUGACGGUACCUAGAUAAGAAGCACCGGCUAACUACGUG
Molecule: ribosomal RNA, 465 nt
Filed under: uncultured bacterium
Lineage: Bacteria
Description: partial 16S ribosomal RNA
Rfam family: Bacterial small subunit ribosomal RNA
Source: RNAcentral